UACGAAGGGGGCUAGCGUUGCUCGGAAUCACUGGGCGUAAAGCGCACGUAGGCGGCUUUCUAAGUCAGGGGUGAAAUCCUGGAGCUCAACUCCAGAACUGCCUUCGAUACUGGCGAUCUUGGAGUCCGGGAGAGGUGAGUGGAACUCCGAGUGUAGAGGUGAAAUUCGUAGAUAUUCGGAAGAACACCAGUGGCGAAGGCGGCUCACUGGCCCGGUACUGACGCUGAGGUGCGAAAGCGUGGGGAGCAAACAGG
This 254-nucleotide ribosomal RNA is filed under the name uncultured bacterium. Its description in RNAcentral is "partial 16S ribosomal RNA". It matches the Rfam family "Bacterial small subunit ribosomal RNA", at positions 524 to 776 of the family's 1533-position model. The record is from RNAcentral.